RNAcentral lists this ribosomal RNA (468 nucleotides) under uncultured bacterium. Its description in RNAcentral is "partial 16S ribosomal RNA". It matches the Rfam family "Bacterial small subunit ribosomal RNA", at positions 28 to 507 of the family's 1533-position model. The record is from RNAcentral.
GACGAACGCUGGCGGCGUGCUUAACACAUGCAAGUCGAACGGAAAGGCCCUGCUUUUGUGGGGUGCUCGAGUGGCGAACGGGUGAGUAACACGUGAGUAACCUGCCCUUGACUUUGGGAUAACUUCAGGAAACUGGGGCUAAUACCAUAUAGGAUCUCCUGCUGCAUGGUGGGGGUUGGAAAGUUUCGGCGGUUGGGGAUGGACUCGCGGCUUAUCAGCUUGUUGGUGGGGUAGUGGCUUACCAAGGCUUUGACGGGUAGCCGGCCUGAGAGGGUGACCGGCCACAUUGGGACUGAGAUACGGCCCAGACUCCUACGGGAGGCAGCAGUGGGGAAUAUUGCACAAUGGGCGGAAGCCUGAUGCAGAAACGCCGCGUGCGGGAUGACGGCCUUCGGGUUGUAAACCGCUUUAGCUUGUGACGAAGCGUGAGUGACGGUAAUGGGUAAAGAAGCACCGGCUAACUACGUG